Molecule: ribosomal RNA, 497 nt
Filed under: uncultured bacterium
Lineage: Bacteria
Description: partial 16S ribosomal RNA
Rfam family: Bacterial small subunit ribosomal RNA
Source: RNAcentral
GCUGAACGCUGGCGGCGUGCCUAAUACAUGCAAGUCGAGCGAACGGACGAGAAGCUUGCUUCUCUGAUGUUAGCGGCGGAAGGGUGAGUAACACGUGGAUAACCUACCUAUAAAACUGGGAUAACUUCGGGAAACCGGAGCUAAUACCGGAUAAUAUUUUGAACCGCAUGGUUCAAAAGUGAAAGCCCGUCUUGCUGUCACUUACACAUGGACCCGCGCUGCAUUAGCUAGUUGGUAAGGUAACGGCUUACCAAGGCAACGAUGCAUAGCCGACCUGAGAGGGUGAUCGGCCACACUGGAACUGAGACACGGUCCAGACUCCUACGGGAGUCAGCAGUAGGGAAUCGUCCGCAAUGGGCGAAGGCCUGACGGAGCAACGCCGCGUGAGUGAUGAAGGUCUUCGGAUCGUAAAACUCUGUUAUUAGGGAAGAACAUAUGUGUAAGUAACUGUGCACAUCUUGACGGUACCUAAUCAGAAAGCCACGGCUAACUACGUG